RNAcentral lists this ribosomal RNA (274 nucleotides) under uncultured bacterium. RNAcentral describes it as "partial 16S ribosomal RNA". It matches the Rfam family "Bacterial small subunit ribosomal RNA", at positions 523 to 796 of the family's 1533-position model. The record is from RNAcentral.
AUACGGAGGGUGCAAGAGUUAUCCGGAAUCAUUGGGUUUAAAGGGUCCGUAGGCGGGCGAUUAAGUCAGAGGUGAAAUCCCACAGCUCAACUGUGGAACUGCCUUUGAUACUGGUUGUCUUGAAUUUUAGUGAAGUAGAUAGAAUAUGUAGUGUAGCGGUGAAAUGCAUAGAUAUUACAUAGAAUACCGAUUGCGAAGGCAGUCUACUAACUAACAAUUGACGCUAAUGGACGAAAGCGUGGGGAGCGAACAGGAGUAGAAACCCGAGUAGUCC